RNAcentral lists this ribosomal RNA (247 nucleotides) under uncultured bacterium. Its description in RNAcentral is "partial 16S ribosomal RNA". It matches the Rfam family "Bacterial small subunit ribosomal RNA", at positions 15 to 257 of the family's 1533-position model. The record is from RNAcentral.
GAUCAUGGCUCAGGACGAACGCUGGCGGCGCGCCUAACACAUGCAAGUCGAACGAGCGAGAGAGAGUUUACUUUUUCGAGCGAGUGGCGAACGGGUGAGUAACGCGUGAGGAACCUGCCUCAAAGAGGGGGACGAACAGUUGGAACGACUGCUAAUACCGCAUAAGCCACGACCCGGCCAUCGGGUAGAGGGAAAAGGAGCAAUCCGCUUUGAGAUGGCCUCGCGUCCGAUUAGCUAGUUGGUGAGG